CUUGAAGACUGGCAUGUUGCCUCAGAUUGUGAAGUCCAAGCUUCAGAGCUCUUUCCCAAAACCAAGAAAAUCCCCCUCAGCUUGAAAUCACAGCCUGAUUCAGGCUUCUUCU
Molecule: microRNA precursor, 112 nt
Filed under: Cricetulus griseus (Chinese hamster)
Lineage: Eukaryota; Metazoa; Chordata; Mammalia; Rodentia; Cricetidae
Description: mir-498
Source: RNAcentral